GUAGACAAUGAGCUCAAGGAGAAGUCGCGAGCGUGAAAAGACAAGGUUGCGCAUGGACGAGUACAGUGGGAAGUCUAGUGGUCGCAGAGGACUGGUAAUAAUACAUGCUGAAAUUCCUCUCAGUUAAAUUCAUUCCCACAACACACACAGGGUACCUCUUCAAGAGUUUGGUUCCCUCGUUGCAAGUAAAUGCAGGAAGGAAGAAGGAAAUACACAUUAAUUCUGCAAGUAGAAAAAAAUUCAGGAACUAUUUUAUUGCUAAUGAGUGGGUACUCAUAUGUUAAGAGCCGAAAAAGAUAUUAAGUGUGAAUGCAAUAAAAUCGUUCACAAUAAAUUAGCAUGAUAUUUCAGUAAUAGUCUAUCAUCAAAAAUAGGUGUAUAAUUUAGCGAAGAUGAGGAUUCAAAAUUCUAACUAUUGUGAUAAAUCUUGUCUUUAAAUUUUUCAAAUUCCUCCAUUAGUCUUCACAAACUUACCAAAACAGUCUUUUCUAAAAUGAAGAUUUCUCCCAUGUUUUCCUAGCAUCUCCUCCAAGACGACGGGAAUUGGACAACAUGAUGAAGAAAGCACGGAAAGACAAUGGCUCUCAGAGUCAAUAUUGGAACAAAAAACUUUUGGAAGUAGAAGAAAAAGACCCUAACAGGUGGAGGCACACUGGUUUCAAAAAAUGUAUGUUGAUAAAGAAAAACGUGGGUCCUCACAUUCAAGGAGUCCGCUCAGUCCAAUGGGACGGAAUUCCUACACUCGCUCACCGCCUGGCCGUUUGCGUUCCCCAGUUCCGCGGCCCCGAUCUCCCUCAACUAAACCUCCAAGAUCUCCAAUUGCUAGAGCCAGGUCACCAGUCGCAAGAGCUAGAUCUCCAGUUCCAAGAGCGAGAUCUCCAGUUCCAAGAGCUAGAUCGCCUGUUCCAAGAGCUAGGUCGCCAGUUGCCAGAGUCAGGAAACUUUCAUCCCCUCCUGCAAGGCGGAGGUCCGAAAGUGGCAGCUCAGGUUCUCUCAGCAGCUGUUCAGAUUCCCAUUGUAGCGUUUGCUCACCGAAGCCCAAGUCUCGUGAAAGAGUACGAAAGGAACGACUCCCACCAAAAGAGCCCCGUUUGA
This 1095-nucleotide long non-coding RNA is filed under the name Bemisia tabaci. RNAcentral's name for it is "lncRNA ENSSWEETPG005537". Lineage: Eukaryota; Metazoa; Arthropoda; Insecta; Hemiptera; Aleyrodidae. The record is from RNAcentral.